UCUGAUGCAGCACGCCGCGUGGAGGAUGACGCAUUUCGGUGUGUAAACUCCUUUUAUAAGGGAAGAUAAUGACGGUACCUUAUGAAUAAGCACCGGCUAACUCCGUGCCAGCAGCCGCGGUAAUACGGAGGGUGCAAGCGUUACUCGGAAUCACUGGGCGUAAAGGAUGCGUAGGCUGGAAAUCAAGUCGAGAGUGAAAUCCAACGGCUCAACCGUUGAACUGCUCUCGAAACUGGUUACCUAGAAUAUGGGAGAGGUAGAUGGAAUUGGUGGUGUAGGGGUAAAAUCCGUAGAUAUCACCAGGAAUACCGAUUGCGAAGGCGAUCUACUGGAACAUUAUUGACGCUGAGGCAUGAAAGCGUGGGGAGCAAACAGGAUUAGAUACCCUGGUAGUCCACGCCCUAAACGAUGCACACUAGUUGUUGCGAUGCUAGUCAUUGCAGUAAUGCACUUAACAGAUUAAGUGUGCCGCCUGGGGAGUACGGUCGCAAGAUUAAAACUCAAAGGAAUAGACGGGGACCCGCACAAGCGGUGGAGCAUGUGGUUUAAUUCGAAGAUACACGAAGAACCUUACCUGGCCUUGAUAUCCUAAGAAUCCUUUAGAGAUAAGGGAGUGCUAGUUUACUAGAACUUAGAGACAGGUGCUGCACGGCUGUCGUCAGCUCGUGUCGUGAGAUGUUGGGUUAAGUCCCGCAACGAGCGCAACCCUCGUGAUUAGUUGCUAACAGUUCGGCUGAGCACUCUAAUCAGACUGCCUUCGCAAGGAGGAGGAAGGUGAGGACGACGUCAAGUCAUCAUGGCCCUUAUGGCCAGGGCUACACACGUGCUACAAUGGCUAGGACAAAGAGACGCGAUACUGCGAAGUGGAGCAAAUCUUAAAACCUAGUCUCAGUUCGGAUUGGAGUCUGCAACUCGACUCCAUGAAGCUGGAAUCGCUAGUAAUCGUAGAUCAGAUAUGCUACGGUGAAUACGUUCCCGGGUCUUGUACUCACGCCCGUCACACCAUGGAGUUGAUUCACCCGAAGCCGAUACUAACUAGUACGACCACGUGGUCAGCGACUGGG
This 1064-nucleotide ribosomal RNA is filed under the name uncultured Sulfurospirillum sp. Its description in RNAcentral is "bacterial SSU rRNA". It matches the Rfam family "Bacterial small subunit ribosomal RNA", at positions 382 to 1479 of the family's 1533-position model. The record is from RNAcentral. Lineage: Bacteria; Pseudomonadati; Campylobacterota; Epsilonproteobacteria; Campylobacterales; Sulfurospirillaceae.